GGUCUCAUGGUGUAAUGGUGAGCACUCUGGACUUUGAAUCCAGCGAUCCGAGUUCGAGUCUCGGUGAGACCU
Molecule: transfer RNA, 72 nt
Filed under: Haemaphysalis longicornis (longhorned tick)
Lineage: Eukaryota; Metazoa; Arthropoda; Arachnida; Ixodida; Ixodidae
Rfam family: tRNA
About the family: Transfer RNA (tRNA) molecules are approximately 80 nucleotides in length. Their secondary structure includes four short double-helical elements and three loops (D, anti-codon, and T loops). Further hydrogen bonds mediate the characteristic L-shaped molecular structure. tRNAs have two regions of fundamental functional importance: the anti-codon, which is responsible for specific mRNA codon recognition, and the 3' end, to which the tRNAs corresponding amino acid is attached (by aminoacyl-tRNA synthetases). tRNAs cope with the degeneracy of the genetic code in two manners: having more than one tRNA (with a specific anti-codon) for a particular amino acid; and 'wobble' base-pairing, i.e. permitting non-standard base-pairing at the 3rd anti-codon position.
Source: Rfam by way of RNAcentral